This 12910-nucleotide long non-coding RNA is filed under the name Brachypodium distachyon (stiff brome). Lineage: Eukaryota; Viridiplantae; Streptophyta; Magnoliopsida; Poales; Poaceae. The record is from RNAcentral.
GUGUUUCUUCUUGAUUUUGUUAUGCAUGCGUCUUAACUUUCUAUAUUUGACUAUUUGUCUAGGUACCAGCAAUGGCAGCUGCAGCCUACUUGAAAUUAGCAGGAAGGCCUCCGGUCCUUCCUUCAAUAAUCCUUCUUCAGAGUUGGAAAUUCUUUGUAAGUCACAUUAUUUGGAAAUUCCGUGUAUUCAUUUUCAAACAUAUAUUCCCUAGAAUUCUGAAGUUUCUGAUUUCAGUGUUGAUACAUAUUUCCUCUUUUUCAUGUGUUGCAGGGGUAACAAAGAAUAUAAAGCCAAAUCCCUGACUUGCCCGUGUUCUAGAUAUCCUUUUUAUUCUUCAUGCUGGACACGAAAUGAAUGCCUCACUGUGCACUGUGCUGGAAAGCGGCGGCGAUCUACCCUCCGUCGUGCCAGUUACGUGCCCCUCCACCUCCUAUGUGUCGCCACUACGGGUGUUAACCACCACCGCUGCUGGAGCUGCGCUACAAGCCUACAACACAUCGAAGAUAUACUGAUAUAUACAUGAAAGCUACAACUCGAACUGGUCAAAUGCUGGGAAGCACAUAGCCAAGCAUAGGGCACUUGUGUGGUUCCUCAAGGAGAAUGUACCGGCCGAUCUUGAGGCCAUGGUGAGGGCAAGAGAGACACAAUUAUUAGUUGGAUUGUUUUGUCAGCCAUACGACCGAAUGCUAUGUCUAAAGUGGUUUUGUUUUAUCGUAUGCACUGUCAUACUAUGUAUGGGUUUGUAAGACCUUAGCUCUGUAUCUUAUGUAUAAAGUUUUUAGCUUGCUUCUGAAGACAUUGAGUUUGUUUUUGUACAAUGCAGUCUGUAUGGCAAUACUUGCGCCCAUAGCCAACAAAAGAGUAAUAUGAUUGUGCUGGUAAUUAGUGAGGGUCAUAUAUCUUGUACACAAGAUCCUUGCUUUGGCCCGUGCGCCAGGGCCGCAAGCAGGCCGCUAGUUAAAUUAAAUCACCUAAUUUGGGUGACCAAUAUAUGCAGGUACAUUUAUUUUUUUGCAUUCUACCACAACUUUCUUAUAUAUGGAAGAGUACUUGUUGUACCAUCAAACCAAUGAUGGAUAAAAGCACACGUCGAGAAAAAACUGAGAUAUUUAGAAGCAGCUCAAAGCCUAUGCAAAUGAAGAGAAAAUAAGAGGAAAAUCUGGGAACAAAGAAGAAUGACGUUAUUUGUCCUAUGAUGGUUUGGACUCGUGGCUACUGCUGACAUAGCUAUUUGGGUCCACACGUCAGGUGUGGUGGACUAUUUUUUGCAAAAAACACAGCGGCUCCCCGUGCCCCCUCUCCUUGUCUGCUCUCUCUAUUCUCCACAAAAGCCGCCCUGUGCAAGCGUUGCUGCAUACGAUUGGUAAUUUUGGUACUGAUUGAUCUCUUGUUCUCCAGGAAUGCCACGCCUACUUCUUCUGCCUGGAGGACCGGGUGCUGCUCUGCCGGAGCAGCGAUGUUGCCAUGCACACGGCCACGCACCGCCGCUUCCUCCUCACGGUCGUGCAGGUCAGCCUGGACGAGCAGGAGACUACUGCCUCCAUGGAGAGGGUGACUUCAGCUGGGCCACUGCGCCGGGCGUCGAGAGCCUCCCCGACUGGCCAAUCAUCAACGAGCAGUUCGGCUCCCCUGCGCCGCGACACGCGGAAGCAUCAGCGGCCGCAAGACGGACACCCACGAAGCGCGCGCCGGCCUUCAGCUGUCAGGGCAGCAUGAUGGACAGGCCCCUUGGCGAAUCCGCUCAAUUCUUGUGCAAACGAUAUGACUUCUUCAGUAAAAUUGGCAGGCUGAUGGCGGGAAGCUGGGACACGGGCGGCUCGUUGUACUGCAUGUCCUCCUCUGCUCUCCUCCUCUCUUCUCCACCCGAUCCCACCGCACAGCCCCGCGUCCUCCCCCGCGAGCGCCUGACCCCGCACGUACCCGUAGCCACUACGCAGCGCGCUCCUCUUCCCCGACCCCGGCUGGGUGCCGCCGCGGCCCACGUCGUCGAUUCCGAGCCGCAGCACCACGAAGCCACGCGCAGAAGCAGCGCGCCAACCGCGCGAAUCCCGAGCCGCCGUCCCCCGUCUCUCUCUCUCUCUCUCGCUCCGCCGCGGCCCCCGCGUCGGAGAUCCUCGCCGCCGCCGCAAGCUCUGCGUCGCCAGCGGGCUCCACCACCGGAUCUACGUCGAUGCCGCAACCAUCUUUCCCCCUGCGCUGGCGCCUCGACGAGAGACCGCUGUAGAGCGACCUCGACCACCGGAGCUCCGCCUAGCAUCGCAUCUUCCCCAACUCCGGCGACAGGGAUCUUUCGUGGAGAAGAGAGGAGGAGAGCAGACGAGAAGAGGGGCACGGGGAAAGAAAGGAAGGAGGAAGGAGGUUUUUGCAAAAAAAAUUGUCCACCUUGACACAAGCACGCGACCGAACCAGUAUAAAACCUGCGCUGAACCACUUCCGGAACAAUCGGGAUUCAAACGCAGUUUCAAAGAAUUAGUACUAACUUCAUACUUUCACGAAACAAUGAGGACCUCUGGUGCAUUUUACUCUCUCUCUCCCCUGAGCUGUACUUUCAAAGUGGUUAAAUGACCUUUCGGUAUGCCAACCUCGCCGCUAGGGGUACAGGGGCUAAGAAAUAGGACUGGACAGCCACUGUUCGUCCGACAAGACGGAUAAUACCCCUCUUGUCGGCUCAUUAAAUGCGUUGUGCGGCUCACUCCUUGCCCCGGCAAAACUACACAUUGGGCGCCCAGCGCGCGCCCACGUGGCGUCGCUGCCCUGCUCGCUCGGCCCGGGAACCCCUCCUCCCGGCAAGUGACUUCCCGGAAGGUGCCCAGGCGGGAAUAUUCCUCGAAGCCCCGCUAGCCCUUCCAGGCUGGUAGCUUGCCGGGCCGCCUGCAGUUGCCGCCCGGGGCGAGAUCCUUCCGGAAACUCGGCGACGCUACCCAUGCAUCGCGCAACGGUGGUACCCCGGGUGCCACUGGUGCGACCGUAGCCCCCGGGCGUGGGCCGGCAACACCGGUUCCCGGGCGAGCUUUUCCUGGGUCGGUUGCCAGGCUACGUCCUCACCGACGCGUGGGUCCCGACUCGCCUCGGGCCCGCGUUUCUUCGCUGCCCCACGUACCCUGCCGUUACGGACGGAGUAGUGGGUGCGUGAUUUCCGCCAUAACCUCCCCCUUAAACAGGAAAGUUAAGGCCACUCUCCGCAUUACUCAUUUGAUUAGGAAUUAUCCCAGCGCAUCCGUAGGAUGCGGAACCGGCCGUUACCAAACGGCCGGGUGCUAUAAAGUUUUUACUGCUGCUGCAAGGGGAAAACACUUUGCUACCACAGCCUUCAUCUUCCAACCUCUUCGCAUCUUGCGCCCAAGAACCCCUGCUAGCUCCUGCCCCCGUUCCCCAUGGCACCUCCCACCACCAGGAAGGGAAAAGAGGGGAAGGCCCCCAGGAAAGCGGCGGCCGGCAGAAGCGACGCGGCUGCCAAGGCCGCCGCCGACAAAGACCGGAAGAAGCGGGAGAUGAGGGCCUCGCUGGCCUUCUACCGGCCCGACUACAACGGCGAGGCGCUGGCCAAGAUCCAGCACGCCGUCGCCUCCCGAUUCAACGAGCACGGGGAGACCCAGAUCCUCCCUGCGGGCGCCGACCAUCAGGAAAAUGACUUCCGAGUGUUCAGGCGCUUCCUCCUUACCAGGCUGGUGCCGCCAUUCUCGCUGUUUUUCCACGCGCUGAUGGAGUCAUACCAGCUGCGGGUGGUGCAGCUCCACCCCACGUCGCUCUACCUCGUCGCCAUCUUCCAAUUCCUCUACGAAGCGUUCGUAGGGGUGAUGCCAUCGGUGGCGCUCUUCCGCCAUUACUUCUACCCCCGGAUUGACAACGCGAACACGAUGUCGUCGGGGGUGGUGUUCCGCGCCCGCGACCGGACGAAAUCUGAGUUCAUCGUCCGGUCGGAGAAGAAGAUCGAGAAGGAGUGGUGCGGGGAUUGGUGCUGGGUCCGCGUAGAAGACCCCAAGGAGUUCAUCCUCCCGCCCACCAAGUUGUCGCAACCCCACGCCGGCUGGCAGGACCGGUACUACCGCGACGCCGAUCUCCUCCCCAUCGUGGAGAAGAUCAAGGCUCUGCGGCUGGCGGGGCUUACCGAUGUCGACGUGGCGCGUACCUUCAUCACCCAGCGCGUCGCGCCGCUCCAACUGCGCUCCCGGCCCGCGUGGAUGUACACGGGUUCUGGGGACAGGACACGCCUCCACCGCGAAGGUGUGGAUUCGGAAUCCCUCCAGGUGUGGGUGAGGGGGAUCUCUGGCGAGGACCUCCCCGCAACGGGGUUCCCGCCGGGAGUCAUUUCCCUCCAUGCCGGUGUUGCGGGGCUCAACGACAUCGUCGCCACCUUCCCGCCCUACAACGAGUGGGGAUUCAUGGAUGAUACCCCCACUCGAACCCCGCGUGCUCCCCCGCCGGCACCUCGCGGGAAGCAGGUGCUUGAGGAGAGCGGGGGCGAGUCGGAGAUCGGCUGACCUUCCCUCCAGUCUCUGGAUGACGAGGCGGGCCAGCCUGCGGCGUCCCAGGCAGUCGUCCAUGUGGACGACGCCGAUGAGGACAGUGAUGACGCGCCCCUGAUCGUGCGGAGAUCAAGGGCGUAUGCAGCGGCCGCGGCUACCUCCACGGUGGCUACGGCGGCACCCGCCCCAGCAGCGGCAUCCGCCCUGGCGGCAGCUCUUAGCUUUGCGGUGGCAGCCGCCUUAGGGGCGUUCGCCGGUACCUCGGCGGCGACCACACCCGUGGGGGUCGCCGGAGCCAUGGUGGUGACCACCCCGGCGGCGGCUACCUCAAUAGCAGCUGCCGCCGCGGCGGCAUCUACACCGGGGGCAGCCCCCGACGCGUGGCAGCCUCGUCCUCGGUUCCCAUGGCGCCCCAAGCUGCGGCAACCCCACGGGCGCCCACGGCGCCGCCAGCUCGGGGGGUCUUCCGGGGCUUCGCGCUUCGGCGCAACCCCCCGAGGACCGAUUCAUCGGCGAGCACCAGCAAGAGGGGGAGGGGUGACUCUCCGCCCGCCACGCCGAUCAAGAGGGCGCGCGCGGACGCCGGCGACGCCACCGACCCGACCGGCACAGGGGCUAGCGGCGCCGUCAUCGCACCUGCCGACGACCCAGCACCAACGGAGGUGGCGCCGGCGACAGGUACGGCUCUUUCCUUCCUCCCUCGCUGUAUUUUCAAUUGUUAGUUAAUCACACAACCGUACCUUCCUUUUCCGUAGUUGGCACCUCGCCCGCGGCAAGCCUCUUGGAGCCCCCUGCUGGGGCGGAGUUGGAGGGGGAGGCUCCCCCGGCAAGUCCGGCGGCCUUGCAAGGUAACCGCCCUUAGCCCCCUUGUCCGCCUCUGGGCUACUUUUUGCUUGCCGCUUCUCACACUUCUUGCCGCUGCAGGCCCAAGCGCACCCGCAUCGGGAGCGGGCGCUAACUUGGUUGAUCUCGACUCCGAUGUAGAGACCACGGGGGCGGCGGAGGAGCCGGCAGUGGCUCCCGCACCAAGCCCGGCCGGGCCGCAGCGGCGACGGUGGUCGACGCGCCAGCAGUCGCGGACGCAGUUGGCGCGGAUUCGUCUACUGCCCAGCAGGGGGCGGCCCCUGCCGAGGGCGCGGCAGCCUCACCAGCCCCGCUGUCCUUAGGCGCGGUUGAAGGGGAGGUUGCCGGGGAAGGGCGACAGGACGCCCCGGCACAUGCAUAUGACCCCCCGCCUAGCUCUACGGUGGCGGCGGGGGCUUCUUCGUCAUCGGCCGCCUCUCUCGACACCGACCUCAGCACCCUCGCCGAGGUGGCUUGGAAUCCCAUCACCUGGGAUCCGAGCGACUUCGAGCGAGGGCACUGGUUCCUGGACGCCGUAAAGGACCAGCGUGCCAAACUCCAGGGGGCGCUAGACUCGCUAGCGGCGACCCACGGGGAAACCAAGAAGGAGCAUGCCGGGGUGCUCGCGGCAGCCCAAGCCCAUCUUGACGAGAAGAGCGAUCUGAUUGCCAACUACCGCGGUGAGAUCCAGGGCCUGCUCGUCAAGCUGGAGGUGCAGGUCAAGGCCACCGAGAGUGUGGUGGAAGCGGCGGCCCGGCAUGAGAUCCAGCUCGGCUCUGCCAAGGACAGAGCGGCCAAGCUUGAGACCGAGCUGGCCACCGCCCGGGAGGAGCUUGCCAAGGCCAGCAACGACAAGGCGGUGAAGACCGUAGAGCUCGCGGCGCUUGAGAACAACCUCCGUAAGGUCAAGAAGGCUGCGCAUGAUGCCCGGCUCCACCAUGACACGCUGAUCGGGCAGCGGCAAAUAGAGACCGAGAAGCUGGUCAAGAUCGCCCAAGCGUUGCGCGAUGUGCUACCCCGGUUCGAGCUGCAGGCCGUGGCGGUGGACGGUACAGACGUCUCAACAUUGAUCCCCUUCUUCUCCGACCUGGUGGGGAAGCUUGGGGCGCUCGACGUCUGGAUCGCCCAAUACGGCGCCAACGAGGUUGCCAACUGCACCUGGGAGGUUGCCGGGACAAUCCUUCCGAGGAUACACCUACGUGACCCGGCGUUCCCCUUAAAGACGCUGCUGGAUGCCUGGUCGGACAGCGAGGACGAGCCCACCCACACUCGGGCGGUGCGUGGGUUCGUCGGCGAGGUGGUCGAGCGGAUGCAGCAGAAGCCAGACCCUGAGCCGUCCCCGGAGUCCUCGGUAGAAGACUCCGGCCACGGCCUCCUGCCGGUCCCUGUUGCUUUCCUGUUUAUCCUCUUUUGUCCUUGUCAUGCAAGUGUAGCGCUUUGCGCUGUUUGAACAAUUACAUUUUGAUUAGUCGAUGUAAUCAUUCACUGCUUAGUUAAUCAAGCUCUUUAGUUCUGCUUAAUGCUUGCUCCUUGUUCCUGGGGCUGCCUCAUGGGGUGGAUCCCUUAGCCUUUGUGUGCUAUGCUUUCUGUUGCCGGGGACUCGCGCGCCUAACUCUUGACCAGGCCAGGGACCCGGGAUGGACCCGCAGUGCCGACCUGGGGUCAAGCAGCAGCGGCGAGCCACUCUACUUGCGGGGUAACUACUCCAAGCCAUGCCCUCCCGGGACGGACCCGGAAGCUGCACGGAGAGUGCACUCCCCCCGCAAGCGUCCUUCUAACACCCUGGCCCCACGCAGGUUCCAGGGGCACCCUUGGCGAGGCAGCGUUCAGUUACAUUCUGCUCUUAAAGAGUUUAGCGUUCAGGUGCAAGCACUUAGCUUUUCGUUCAAUCUCGUGCUCGGCACGAGUGCCGAUGAUGUGCGCCUGGUACACUGCCCUUGAGAGAGCCUGCUGGAGGAAUGCGGUGGAGACGCCGUGGCAAGACCGUCGACAACGAUGCUCCCACUACGCCUCCACACCAACCCUCGCUUCUGGAAAAGCCCUUGCUUUCGGAGGAACCUGUCCCAAGGGGUGCGGCGGGGACGUCGUGGCUUCCUCGCCGCCACCGGCGAGCACGGGUGGCGAGGACGCCAUGGCAUUCCCGCAGCAGCCCUCGCUGCUUGGGGAAAAAAUCUGUCUGAGGGACGCAGCAGGGACAUUGCAGUGGGCCAGAGUGAACGGCGAACGCCGGCACCGGCGCCAUCACAGCAUCCUCGCUACGACCCUCGCCUCUGGAGGCACCCUCUGGAGGGGUGUGGCAGGGACACCACGGCAGUGCACCCGUCGGCGCCGAGCGCCGAUGGCAUGCACUACCAUCGUGUCUCCACGUCACCCCUCACUCCUUGCGGAGAUAACCUCUGGAGGGAUGCGGUAGGAGCACUGCGGCGGUGCACCCGUCAGCGCUGAGCACUGAUGGAAUGCACCACCACAGUGCUUUCGUGGCAGCCCUCGCCCCGGAGCCGCUCGCUAGAGGAGACGUGGCAAGGACACGGAGGCAGUGCAUCCGCCGGCGCCUCAGAGUGGGCUCGGUGGGGUAAUGCGCAAGGGUGCGAUGGUAGUGCACCCGUCGGCGCUGGGCGCUGAUGGCAUGCACUACCAUCGCGCCUCUGCGGCACCACCCGCCUUUGCAGCCUCUUGGCUGUGCUCUGAGCCGUUCCAUGGCCAGGACGCUCCUUUUAUAGGCGCGGAGGGGGGGCUCGCCACCACACACGCCGGGUCAACACGGCAUACGUGGCGCUCCGCCCCUUGAAGUGCGGUACAGUCUUCACCACUUCGCACGCCAAGUUGCUGUAGCACACGUGGCGACUCCCUCCUGAAUCAGGGGCCUCGAAGUGCGGCGAGUCCCUCAUGGUGCGGUCGUUCCGCACCACCAGGCGCUGCUACAAGCCGCGACCCGUGGGCGGUCCACGGGCAUUACAGUGUGCAAGAUUCCAAUUUUACCCUACAUGUUAGAUUCUUACCAAGCCCGAGAUGAUGCAAUUUUUUUUCGAAAUUCACGAAAAACUCAAAGCAACAUGGAUAAUCUCUUGCCUCCCAGCCCCCAGGCACGGAAGGGUCGACGCCAAACUUGGAUGUGAGCACUUCAUUUCCCAGAGGCAGCGACUGCGUGGUGCACGUUGCGGGGAGCCCAGCAACUGCACGUCCAGUGAUGCACGUUGUGGGAAGGCCGGCAACUGCAUAUCCCGUGAUGCCCGUUGCGGGAAGCCCGGCAACUGCAUGCCCUGUGCCGGAGCGAUCCGGCAACAGGUUUACGUUUUCGAGGCUCCAACAGCCCCCUGCUCACAGCCAAGUAUGGAAAGACACUUCUGUGCACCCAAAGCAGGAGACAAAAGAAGAAGGAAUAUGCAAAUAAACGAGGCAAUCUUAAAACUCAGGGAAAAAGCACUUAUCUUUAUUCACAAUAACCAGUGGUUUACACACGGGGGUUGCCCGGCUACGCUAGUUCCAGAGGUAUGCAUCGGCGGCAUCACCUAAGGGUCGGGCUCCGCCGCUUCACGGGUAGAACCUGCGCAAGUGUUCAAUAUUCCAACUAUUUUGCACCGGCAAACCUUCUUCGGUUUCCAGCCGGACAGCCCCCGGUUUGGUCACCUGCACUACCCGGAAGGGGCCUUCCCAGUUCGGAGUCAACUUGUUCCCGGCCUUCGUUCCUUGUAUCCGGUGCAGGACAAGGUCUCCGUUCUCGAGCCCCCGGGGACGGACUCUCCUGUCGUGAUAACGACGGAGUGCCUGCAGGUAGCGCGCGACCCGCACAGCAGCCCGACAUCGAAGCUCUUCGAUGAAGUUCAGAUCAUCGACCCUUUGCUCGUGUUGGCUGGAGUUGCCGUACACACGUACUCGGGGAGAUCCGUGCUUGAGCUUGAGGGGCAGUACCGCUUCUGCCCCAUAGACAAGGGCGAAAGGGGUUGUGCUCGUUGCCCGACUGGGUGUGGUCCUGAUUGACCACAGCACGGGCUGGAGUUCUUCGAUCCAGUAUUUGGCCUUUGAGCUUGUCAAAGGUUCUCAUCUUGAGCCCCGCAACACUUCCGCGUUGGCUCGCUCCGCCUGUCCCUUACUCCUUGGAUGAGCAACGGACGCGAAGUGCAACUUGGUGCCCAUGCCCUCGCAGUAGGCCUGGAACACCGCGCUCGUGAAUUGCAUGCUGUUAUCGGUGAUGAUGCCGUUAGGCACACCAAACCGGCACACAAUGCUCUUGAAGAACUUGAUGGCCACCUGGGCGGUCACCUUCCGCACUGGUUCUACUUCCACCCACUUGGAGAACUUGUCGAUGGCCACGAACAAAUAUUCGUAGCCGCUGACUGCUCUUGGCCGCUUGUCGACGAUGUCCAGCCCCCAGACCGCGAACCACAAGGAAGGGAUGACAUGCAGGGCCGGCGCCGGCUGGUUGCUCUUCUUUGAGUGGAACUGGCACGCCUCGCAUGUCUUCACCAGCUGCGCUGCGUCGGCCAGGGCCGUGGGUCAGUAAAAACCGUGCCAGAACGCCUUGCCGGCCCGCACCCGGGAGCCACAUGGUGGGAGCAUGUGCCUCGAUGUAUCUCUUCCAACAGCGCGCACCCUUCGUCUUGAGGAACGCAGAUGAGCUUAACUUCAUUCGCACGCCUGCGGUAGAGGUUCCCGUCCACCAUGGCGUACAUUUUGGCUUGCCGCGCCACACGCUCCGCGGCGACGUCGUCUUCCGGGAGGGCGUCCCCCUUCAAGUAGCGGGCGAUUUCCACUGCCCAGGGAGGGGUCUCCCUGCCAACGCAUGCCGCUAUGUCAGUGGCAUGGACCCCUGUUGUUGCGGGGUUUCCUUCGGUUGCCGGAUGGGCCUCCAAGGCAACCGGCUCGGGGGCGACUGAGGGCGCAGCUUGCCUGUGCCAGAACACCCCCGCCGGGGUGAAACUAUCCUCCCCCUUACAGGGUUCGAUCUCUGUGCUUACUGUGCUAGUCCCUGGAUCGACUCUGUAGCACACACAGUUUCAAGAUGUAAUAUCAAGAUACAAAGGUCAAAAGUAUAUUACAUCGUAUUGAUCCAGAAUUAAUCCCUACACAUAUUGCAUAACCUCAUGGGUUAGCUCUAGAGAAAAUAAAAUCUUGCAGCGGAAAGCAGAAGAUGCAUGAGUCCCAUAACAACUCCACAGUCGAAACAUGUUGGAAUGUAAACUCGCAACCCUAACAAUUCGUACGUCACUUUUCACCUGGUUCACCUGCAACAUUUAAACGUUGCAGCCACUAGGGAGUCAAUACAUUGAAUGUAUUGGCAAGUUCACAAAAGGGUUAUAACAGAUCCUGUCAAGGUGGGGUUUGGCUAAUUGCAUAAAAGCAUCAAUGUAUCAUCCUAUCAUUUUAUUAAAUAGUUUUAUCACUAUUGGACACGGGGUAGAAACACCCGUGCUCCUAUUAACCUAGAGCACACUGAGCAGAUACAUCAAGUGCCCCUACUCUGUUCAAACCAUUCAUUUUACUUAAGAAAUUUGAAUGAUUGAAACCUUCCUUACAGCCCCCAUAUCUAGUUGCUCAUAAUUGUCUGUAACCGGGGACACCGCUAAGUACUUAGUUUUACACUCUCGAGAGGUUGUACACAUUUCCCACAGAAAUCGACGUGUUAAUCCCUUGCUGUCCUCAGGGUAGAGUAGUCCCUUGCAUCGAUUACAGGAAUUUUCAGACUAUAAUCACCCAGACCACCUGAGGGACCUACGUUCCCACCUACACGGCUACAUAUGCACAAUCCCACGGAUCCAGGAUCAUAUGUCUUACAUCCAUCCUGGCAGAGCCCAUAUUACCAUGUGGUUGUACUGGAAGCUAUUAAAGAGGAAACUAGUCCAGUCUCUAGUUACCCCGGGUGGCAUUCCUCAAUUGCAACGCAGACACUCCCAUAGAAAUGGCGAGACGACUCAGAGAAAUGGACCCAUAGAAAUGGACCUGAUGUCGCAUACAUCUCCGAUUCCUCAAAGCAGCCCACCCAGGACGGUUCAUUGAAUUACUUGUUUUGCCAUACACUAGGAAAACCAUAUUGUAAUUGAAUAGUAUCACCUUGUAAUAAUACCAACCUCAUAUAUUAUCAUAGCAUAGUUUACUACUACGAUGGCAAUUGGUGGUGAUGACAUGGCAAGGGUAUCCUAUACUACUAGGAGAUCAUAGCUAGCAUAGGUACAAUAAUAUUCCUAUCAAUGCAACUAAUAAAAAACUAGUGCAUAAUAAAAUAAUGGGAUAAUGGUCAAAGUGAACUUGGCUUGAUAGCAGUUGGUAUUCGGAAAGUCCUUUUCCUUUUAUUUAAGGAAGUCUUUCACAGGUCAAACGAGACCUAAGACUUAAUCUAAAAUAAAUUACUAGAUUGAAUCUAUUUGCAUUAAAAAAACCGAUCAAAAAAGGGCGAGCGAAGCAAGUGAUCAAAAACUUUGUUCGUCCUAUCUAUAAGAGGAGAGCAUAUGAAAAAUGUAACCCAUUCUUUCGUUUUUUUAGCUCACUGGCCAUCCGCUGGCAGUUUCGGGCUUAAUACCGAUAUUUUAGCAACAAAUCUAAUAAAUCUAACUGUAGUGGUUGGUGUUUUGAUUUUUUUUGGAAAGGGAGUGUGUGCGAGUUGUCUAUUUCAAGAAUAGGUUGGAUCUAUCCGACUGCACUUUAGAAUAUUUCGUAGUAUUUUUCGGAUAAAUAAGGGUGCGCAAUCUCGACGAAUUACUUCUGAAUAAAUUCAGAAAUCAUAUGGAAGAACCAUAGCAUUUCGCGACUCGUUGGUAAAUCAACUUUGAUUCUCUAUAAACCAAUUAAUGUGAGACUAUUAACACGGUUAAAGCUAAACUGCUUGAAGUCCAGGCAAAAAGGGGUACUCUUUCUACACCUAUAUUAGUAUUAGUACCGAAAUGCUUUAAACGGGAAAUAGCUAAUGUAGAAUUUAUCUGAUAUAGAACACUCAUAUCGAUAAAAUGGUUUGAACUAUUUACUAGAAAAAAAGAGGCACCCUGCCCUUUUUUAUCGAAUGCCGAAUCGACAACCUAUGUAUAAAAUAAAAAAAGAGAAAUUUUUUGGAUUUGAAGAAAAAAAAGACUUCGAUUCAUUUUCUAUUUAUUUCGUUAGUUUUUCUUAAUGAAAUUGAAAUUAUUAAGUAAAGUGCAAAUACAAAUAAAGAAACAACUUUGCUGACCAUGAUAGAUUUUUAUCUAGGCGGAAGAGUCCUCUUAAUAUUUAUCUAAUCUUAUAUAGGUUUCAGUAUAUUGAAAUAGAAAGAUAAAAUAGAAGAGAGAGGAUAGGCUCAUUACUUAAAAAAAAGAUAUGGAAAUAGCCAUAGCAAAAAAAGAAAAAAGGAGCGUGAGAGCCAAAUGAAUCGAAAGAUUCAUGUUUGGUUCGGGAAGAGAUCAUAAAAGUUGUAAACUUAAUAGCAAGAUAAUCUACUUUCAUUAAAAGAUUUAUUAGAUAAUCGAAAACAGAGGAUCUUGAGUACUAUUCGAAAUUCGGAAGAAUUGCGUAGAGGGACCUUUGAGCAGCUCGAAAAAGCUCGGAUUCGAUUACAGAAAGUCGAACUAGAAGCGGAUGAGUAUCGAAUGAAUGGAUACUCUGAGAUAGAACGAGAAAAAGAAAAUUUGAUUCAA